UCCCGGUGGCCGCGGGAGAUGGGCAGUGUCUGGAGGAGAGGAGAGGAGGCCAUUUGAAUUAAGACUCUCCUUUUAAAAAUGGGUUAAAGAACAAAGUGAGUGAAAACCUAAGCGCCCCCCCUCCCCCUGGAGGAAGCUCUAGUUCCGGGGCUGCGCGGGCCCCGUUUUUCCGGGGGUUAGCGCACGGGAGUUGGUCGCCCACCGCGUCCGCUGUUGAGGUCGGGCGGCCGCAUCCCGGGGCACCUGGGCCUCUUCGCGGCUCCUGGACUCCACGGCGCAGGUUUUUUCUCGAGCUCGGCUCGGCAAUCCCGGGCCCCUGACCUCUGCAGCCGCGCCGCCCACCGCUUCCUCCCCCGAGGGCGUAAACCCGAAUCCACUCCGGCCUCGGGCCUCGGCCUGCGCCAUGGCCCGCGGACCGCCCGGCUCUGACGAUUCUGGGCUGGGGAGAGGCGGGCUGAGCUCCCCUCCUGACGCGAUUCCGCACGCAUCUGUUUCGGGACCCUGGCCGUGUCCCGGCCUUAACCUCUUCAGCGUUACAACGGGGAUAAUAAUGCUUGCCGGCUCGCCCGCCAGGUGGUGGCUGGAUAAUAUAUUCCGGUGGAGGAGUGAGGAGGGUUGGCAGAGACUGUCAACUGUUACGCUGGGUGGCCGUUCACAGCCCUCCCAGAUUGGAGGGUGGAGGGCGGGGGUAGUUCGACCCCGGCCUGCGACCUCCCGGAAGAAAGGGGCUCGUGGUUGUUUAGGUUGCGCAGAGCCCGCCACGCUUCCGGCGGGGGCACGUGGCGCUUUUGGGGACCUUCGCCUCACUGUCCCAAGCUCGGCCUGGGGCGGAGCAGCCUUCUCGGCACCCUGUACUCGGUUCUGCGCGGACCCCACCGUCUCGCCGCGGGCAGCAGCCGUAGGAGACUGCGGAACUUCUUGCCAGAUCUGGAGCUGAGCGUCCCCGACUGAACCCAGGCAGAAAGGGAAGCCCUGUAGGUUGUCCUGAUCUGCGGACGCAGUUGAGGCGACCCUGAGUCUCGCAGGAAAACCAGUCCCGGAGAAGACAUUGGCCUCUGAUGGUCAGACCUCCGCGGAGAGUCUCAAAGGAAGAAGUCCCACCAACUCUUCACAAAACUAUAAAACCAUCUAGAAAAGGAAGCGUCCACAUGGAUUGAGGGAAACAGUUGAGAAUUAAAAGAUCAGAACAGGACCCAAGACGUUGGCUACGAGGAAGGCGGAUGCUUGUGAGACACGUUUUUAAAGAAGCAAGAAGACUUGCUGGACAAAGCAGAACUCCCGACAUAAUGAAAGACAGUAGAAGAAUCCAGGACUUCUCUCCCUUCCUGUCUUCCUAUCGCUCCUGUGAUAGGAGUGAAACCACCAAUGCGAACCUUGGACCAGGCUUUUCAGCAUGAUGUCCUCAAGGUCCAGCCACAUUGUCAUGAAUGUCCAGUGAUAUCAAAGGAUUACAGCCUGAUUUGCCACGAAACUUCUCAACAAGUCUGAUCAUACAAAUAUUCUUGGAGAUUAUUUUAGGAAGCCUAUAUGCUAGUACUUUUGACUGCAGGAAGGGAAACAAAGUUUCUCCGAAGUGGUCAUCUCCAGGAAGCAAGACUUACCGCCCAUAGCUAAAGAAGACCAGUUUCUGGAGAAACAAGGUUCACAGGUAGAUACCGAAAAUUGAGGCUGCUGGAAGUCUGAUUACCAGAUGCCUCGUGAAGUGAUGGGUUCCUGUAUUGGAGAUGUUCCUACAAAGGCCAGAGCUCCAGGUAGCACAAGCAUCAUAUGGGAGACUCACAAGCUGGGCUGCAAAUUAGGGCAGAAGGAUCUUCAAGAUGGAGCACAGAAUGGACCAGAGUGGGAUACACAGGUGCACAGCACAUAUAGAAGACCCAAAGGUGGGACAAUCGAAGAAUGCAAAGAAACAUGAUGCUACUGAACAAUACUUCAAUUCCAGGAGCAUGAACUGGAAACCUCCUAGGAAUCAGGCAGUCCUACAUAGUCCCUGACUUUAAGAACACAGACAGAAAUGUAAGCAAAUAAAUUAUAAUUCAGUAUCAUAAGAACAAUAGUGGAAGCAUACUCAAAAUAAAGAGACAGCCCAGGGGGAAGAGAUCUGGAAUCUUCACGUGGGAUGGGAGAAGGUUAUCAAGGAAGCCUUCCCAGAAGAGGUGCUGUUAGAGCUGAACAGGGGUUUCUCAAGAUGGAUCAGACUUGGAAAUAGACAAGCAAAGUAAGGAAGGUCAUUCCAGGCAGAGGGAACAGCAUGAAUGAAGCCAUCAAGCAGUGUGGUACCUAUGGGGAUCUAUAAGUUCAGUAUUGCUGUUCCACAAAAUGCAAGAUAAUUGGUUCCUUUUGGGAAAAUAACAAUAACGAUAGCCUAUACACAGGGUGCUUUCCACGUGCCAGGCAGCGUUCUAAGUCUUUAUACGUUAGCACGUUCAAUCUUCCCAGCAAUCCUGGAACAUAGGCACUAUUAUUGUUCCUAUUUUGUAGAUGGAAAAACUGAGGCACAGAGAGAUUACUAUAUAAGAUGAUAAUACUGCGCAGGUUCUAAGGAAA
Molecule: long non-coding RNA, 2544 nt
Organism: Balaenoptera ricei (Rice's whale)
Lineage: Eukaryota; Metazoa; Chordata; Mammalia; Artiodactyla; Balaenopteridae
Exons: 10
Source: RefSeq, a predicted model, not a curated record